Lotus japonicus is the source of this 2724-nucleotide RNA transcript. RefSeq lists it as uncharacterized. NCBI's taxonomy places the organism in Eukaryota, Viridiplantae, Streptophyta, Magnoliopsida, Fabales, Fabaceae. The transcript is spliced from 25 exons. The record is from RefSeq and is a predicted model, not a curated record.
UACUACUACAAAUUUAAAAAACUUUCCCAAAUACCAAAUAGCAAGUUGCAUCUUGUAACCUACCAUGUCAACAACACAAAACUGAAGAGUGUUCUGCUCACCAAAUUCAAAACAGAAAAACAAAAACACACAAGGAAGAAAAAGAAGCAGGUUUGAAUUUCUGUGAAUUCAUAAUAGAGAGAAGAAGAGAAGAUAGAGGUUGUUUGCAUUGUACAGUAUGGAAACAGAGGAUUGGGACUUGAGCGCUGAAGACCUUGAUUCCCUCGAACGUGACGCUUUCCAGAAGAUUGCUCAACUGCGCCACGCUCCUUCUUCUUCCCAACAACCGCAUUCUGCAACUCACCACUCGGAGCGACACCCACCAAACCCUCUUCCCGAUUCACGUCCUCAAAGGGUUGAUGCUUUGUCUCAACAAGGAGCUAGAGUACUUCCCACGUCAGUGAAUUUGAAAGCAGGAACAGCAAACAAUGAUGAACACGCAAAAGAACGGUCGAAGAUUAUGGUCAAAUUUUUCCUUCAUUCUAGUGGAAGCAUCGCCGCAAGGUUUCAAUAUGACCAGGUAGUAGUUGCUGCUUUCCGGAGAAUACCUAAAUCUUUUUGGAAUGCAAAGGAGCGGUUAUGGAUGUUUCCACUAUCUUCUUUAUCAGAAGCAGAAAGGGUUCUUGGAGAAUUAUCUGGUCAUAAUGUUCAGGUGGAAAACUUAGAUCCCUUAGUGCAGCGGGCCAUUACUGCUGCAUCUGCUGUUCCAGAUCUUCAAGGUCGAUACGACAAGAUCCCUAGCGAUGUUGAAUCAAAGCUUUUGCCAUUUCAGCGAGAAGGUGUUAGGUUUAUAUUGCAGCAUGGAGGUCGUGCUCUUUUAGCUGAUGAAAUGGGACUUGGGAAAACUUUGCAGGCCAUUGCUGUAGCUGCAUGCGUUCAGGACUCGUGGCCGGUUCUUAUAAUUGCACCUUCUUCAUUACGCUUGCAAUGGGCUUCUAUGAUUCAACAAUGGCUGAAUAUUCCUUCAUCAGAUAUAGUUAUUGUCUUAUCUCAAAAUGGUGGAUCAAAUAGAGGAGGAUUCAACAUAGUAUCUUCUAGUGCCAAAGGAAGCAUUCAUCUGGAUGGGCUAUUCAAUAUUAUCUCAUAUGAUUUGGUGCCAAAGCUACAGAAUAUGCUUAUCGCAUCCGACUUUAAGGUUGUCAUUGCAGAUGAAUCACACUUUCUGAAAAAUGCUCAGGCGAAGAGGACUACUGCUUCUCUGCCAGUUUUAAAGAAUGCUCAAUAUGCAAUAUUGCUUAGUGGAACUCCUGCUUUAUCCCGACCGAUUGAACUAUACAAGCAGCUGGAAGCUUUGUAUCCUGAAGUAUAUAGGAAUGUUCAUGACUAUGGUAACCGGUAUUGCAAGGGUGGAAUUUUUGGAAUUUAUCAAGGUGCAAGUAACCAUGAAGAAUUGCACAAUUUGAUGAAAGCAACAGUGAUGAUUCGCAGGCUUAAAAAGGAUGUUCUUACUGAACUUCCUGUAAAGCGUAGGCAACAAGUCUUCCUAGACUUGGCUGACAAGGACAUGAAGCAAAUUAAUGCUUUAUUUCGUGAGUUGGAGAUGGUUAAAGCCAAAAUUAAGGCAUCAAACUCAAAAGAGGAGGUUGAAUCACUGAAGUUUACUCAAAAGCACCUUAUUAACAAGAUAUAUACUGAGUCUGCAGAAGCCAAGAUUCCAUCGGUUCUGGAUUAUGUGGGAACUGUCAUUGAGGCAGGUUGCAAGUUUCUUAUCUUUGCACAUCAUCAACCAAUGGUUGAGGCCAUACAUGAGUUUCUUCUUAAGAAAAAAGUGGGCUGCAUCCGGAUUGAUGGAGGUACACCAGCUGCAUCAAGGCAACACUUGGUUACAGAGUUUCAGGAAAAAGAUGCUAUCAAGGCAGCAGUGCUAUCUAUUAAAGCUGGAGGCUUUGGGUUGACUUUAACUGCUGCCAGCACAGUCAUUUUUGCAGAAUUAUCUUGGACUCCAGGUGACCUAAUUCAGGCAGAAGACCGUGCUCAUAGAAUCGGCCAGGUAUCUUCAGUAAAUAUAUACUACUUGCUAGCAAAUGACACAGUUGAUGACAUCAUAUGGGACGUAGUGCAAAGCAAACUGGAAAAUUUGGGGCAGAUGUUAGAUGGCCAUGAGAACACCUUAGAGGUCUCAGCUGGCCAGCCAGUGAGUAGCCCUGCAAAACAGAAAACUCUUGAUCAGUUUGUUAGAAGAUGUGGCAACAUGGAACAUCAGUCCAGCCCGAAACGUGCCCGACAAUGACCUGAAAUUCAUGUGGUAUAAGUAAACCCAUUCUUGCUCCUGCACAACUGCUGGCUGAGUAAUUAGGAUCAUGUCUUAAAAGUUCUGUGAGCAGCAGGUGCUUAAAAUGGACAAUGGUUGCAUGUUGACACAUUCUUGCUCAUCCCAUGUAAAGGGCUUAUAAAGUAGAGGGUGUAGUUAAACUCUGUUGACAAGAGGUCAUAUAAAAUAGGUUGUCUGAACAGCUUGCAACUCUAAACUAUUUUGCUGGUACUGGAGGAGGUGAUCGGUUACUGUACUGCGUAUUCGAUGAAAAUGGCGAUCAAGUCUACAACAGUUUUUAGGGUUCUUUUACUCCUUCCUUAACGUCUUGUCCCCUUAAGUUUUGUUCUCUGUGGGACCUGUACAGAAUACAUUAUCAUAUGAAUGUAACAUAUAAGUUGCUCUCCUAAAUACAAAAUUUCAUAUUUCAUCCA